AUGGAUCAAUUUUGCUACUCUUCUUUGGCAGAGAGAAUCAGAGUGUCCCAGCCACAGACCCGUUUGCCUCAGGAAGCUGAGCUCGUCUGGAUUCCCACCAUAGCCUGGGCCCCUCUGCUCCUCACACUGCUCACUUACUGCUCAGGGGUCAGUUCACAGGCUGUGGUGGCUCAGGAGCCCUCAGUGUUCAUUGCCCCAGGAGGGGCCAUCACUCUGUCCUGCAGCCUGAGCACUGGAGCCAUCACCACCAGCAACUAUCCCUCCUGGUACCAGCAGAAACCAGGCUCUGCUCCUCGGAUGCUCAUAUAUGAAACUAAUAAGAGACCCUCAGGGAUCCCAGCCCGGUUCUCUGGGUCCAUUUCCAGUAACGACGCUGCCCUGGCCAUCACCGGUGUCCAGGUAGAGGACGACGCUGACUAUUACUGUGCUGUGUACACGGGUAGCAGUGGUGAACUAUACACAGUGAUACAGCGAGUUUGUGCUGACUCAGCCACCCUCAGUAUCAGCGUCUCCUGGGCAAACGGUUACGAUCUCCUGUGCCAGGAGCAGCGGCAGCAUCAGUGA
Gopherus evgoodei (Goodes thornscrub tortoise) is the source of this 564-nucleotide non-coding RNA. NCBI's taxonomy places the organism in Eukaryota, Metazoa, Chordata, Testudines, Testudinidae. The record is from the annotation of a RefSeq genome assembly.